CAGACCAGCCUGUGAACUUUCUUUACUCAUGGAACCAGGUUAACUCCACAAUGUCAACAGGGAGAAAGAGGAGAGUCGAUAUAUCUGGACACAUUUCUCAUUUGACGUCGUGAAAUACAAGACGAUGUGUAAACCAUGUGGGGCGACGAUCUCGGGUAAAAACACAACACAUCUGAAACAUCUGGCACCGCUGGCAGUAUAAUGGCAACAUAACGGCACAGCUGCUUUUACGAACCUCCACUUUCAGGAUCAUGGUAAUUUGGAUCCAGUCCUUUAUCCAGAGCUUUACUGAUCUUCUCCACCGCUCCGGUCUGAACGUAGUCCAGAAACUUCUUCAGGUUGGUCUGUUUAUAAACCCGACUCUUGUACCUGAACUGUAACAGAACACAGAAAUACAGACGAGACGUGAACACACUCCAUCAUGAUCACGUCUCCAGAGGAUCCACGACCCCACACUCUAUACCACUCACUGAUCAGAAGAACUGCAUCAAGUACUGACAGGAAUCCCACUGGAAUGUUCAUAAUAAAUGUUCUUUACAGCCACGCUGAGCAGAAGAGCGUCUGAGAACACAUCGCAUCUUCUGAGGGUACAGUGGGUACAGGCUCACUGACACGCCCGGUGUCUCGCCCCCCUGGGUGAGUGUGGAACAGUAAUGCUGUAUGACCUGCAGAGACUAACCAUGCUGUCAGUCAUCUGUGCCUCCGUGCCCCCUGCUGGCUUAUAGAGGCAUGGCAGGUGGGCAUGACACUGUAAUCCACACCCCCUGCCAAUCUGUACAGCAGCCUGUCUGGUACCAACAACCAUGCCACCCUCAAAGUCCCUCUUUCUGUUACACUGGAGUAUAAGCAUGAGGUGACACAGUGGCUCUCAUUAUUUAUUUGGACGCCUGACCGAUCGAUCAGUCGAUGUUCCGGUUCAUCCCAGAUCUGUUGAGUGGGGCUGAGGUCAGGGUCUCUGUGCAGGACGCUGGAGUUCCUUCAUGUCUUUUUAGAGCUCACUCACGCUGGAACAGGAAAGGACCUUCCCUAAACUGUUGCUGCAAAGUGUAAAAAGGCCGUCACGCCAAGAGAGUCGGAAAGGCGAUGGUUUACAUUUUCAGCAUUUAGGAGACGCUUUUAUCCAAAGCGGCUUACAGUACUGAGACAGUAUACAGUCAGAGCAAGUGAGGGUUAAGGGCCUUACUCGAGGGCCCAACAGUCUGGCAGUGGUGGGGCUUGAACCAGCGACCUUUUGAUUACUAAUCCACUACCUUAACCGCUAGGAUACAGCUGAGACCAAGUCGACUUUCCAACCCAGGUGGAGCAGCGGGAUGUUCAGCUAACACACCAGCUCUGCUGCCGGUCGGCUGGGCGCCCCUAGCGGGCGCGAUCGGCAGUGGGUGGGAAAAGACGGGACUAAAAAGUGGGCGGGGUUUUCGAGGCCGUGUAAGGACUAUGGUUAGUAGCCCUGAAGUACGGGCGAAUAAGAAGGGAUCGGUGGAGCGCCCACACAUCAGAGGGAGGGCGUGUCAGGAGAAUGUACCCUCCUCGUACGCCAUCAGGGUCUCCGGCAGAGAGAGAGGAACUGGAUAUGACUAAACUGGGAGAAAAAUGGAAGAAAUGCAGAAAUAAAAUUAUUCUGUACACGACCAGACGAGCGCUGAAACUCCGGGUAACCCCCCCUCGCCCCUCGAACACCCCCCUCGCCACCACCAAAUCUCCCCGUAAGCCCUCGUUCUGAGAGCUGGAACGCUCGAGGGUUCGGCCAGAUGGAGCGAGAGAAGAAAAGCCUCCGAGAAACUCUGAGAAAUAAAAAGAGAGAGAGGAAACGGACUGACGGGGCGCAGUGGGAAAAAAAACAAUAAAAUAAUAAUAAUAAUAAUUCCAGACAGAGGGUCUCUGUGCAGCGCCAUCGAUCCGCCAGCAGAGGGCGU
Trichomycterus rosablanca is the source of this 1913-nucleotide long non-coding RNA. RefSeq lists it as uncharacterized. The record is from RefSeq and is a predicted model, not a curated record. NCBI's taxonomy places the organism in Eukaryota, Metazoa, Chordata, Actinopteri, Siluriformes, Trichomycteridae. The transcript has 3 exons.